GAUGAACGCUGGCGGCGUGCCUAAUACAUGCAAGUCGAGCGAACAGACGAGGAGCUUGCGCCCCUGACGUUAGCGGCGGACGGGUGAGUAACACGUGGAUAACCUACCUAUAAGACUGGGAUAACUUCGGGAAACCGGAGCUAAUACCGGAUAAUAUAUUGAACCGCAUGGUUCAAUAGUGAAAGACGGUUUUGCUGUCACUUAUAGAUGGAUCCGCGCCGCAUUAGCUAGUUGGUAAGGUAACGGCUUACCAAGGCGACGAUGCGUAGCCGACCUGAGAGGGUGAUCGGCCACACUGGAACUGAGACACGGUCCAGACUCCUACGGGAGGCAGCAGUAGGGAAUCUUCCGCAAUGGGCGAAAGCCUGACGGAGCAACGCCGCGUGAGUGAUGAAGGUCUUCGGAUCGUAAAACUCUGUUAUUAGGGAAGAACAAAUGUGUAAGUAACUAUGCACGUCUUGACGGUACCUAAUCAGAAAGCCACGGCUAACUACGUG
Molecule: ribosomal RNA, 497 nt
Filed under: uncultured bacterium
Lineage: Bacteria
Description: partial 16S ribosomal RNA
Rfam family: Bacterial small subunit ribosomal RNA
Source: RNAcentral